UCAGUAGGCGGUGCGGCAAGUCGGGAGUGAAAUCUCUGGGCUUAACCCAGAGGCUGCUUCCGAAACUGCUGUGCUCGAGUGUGGGAGAGGCGCGUGGAAUUGCAGGUGUAGCGGUGAAAUGCGUAGAUAUCUGCAGGAACACCCGUGGCGAAAGCGGCGCGCUGGACCAUUACUGACGCUGAAUGACGAAAGCUAGGGGAGCAAACAGGAUUAGAUACCCUGGUAGUCCUAGCCCUAAACGAUCAGGACUUGGGGUGUCGCCCGUUCGGGCGUCGUCCGGAGCUAACGCGUUAAGUCCUGCACCUGGGAGUACGGUCGCAAGACUGAA
This 328-nucleotide ribosomal RNA is filed under the name uncultured bacterium. RNAcentral's name for it is "bacterial SSU rRNA". It matches the Rfam family "Bacterial small subunit ribosomal RNA", at positions 568 to 898 of the family's 1533-position model. The record is from RNAcentral.